UACGAAGGGGGCUAGCGUUGAUCGGAAUCACUGGGCGUAAAGGGUGCGUAGGCGGGUCUUUAAGUCAGGGGUGAAAUCCUGGAGCUCAACUCCAGAACUGCCUUUGAUACUGGGGAUCUUGAGUUCGGGAGAGGUGAGUGGAACUGCGAGUGUAGAGGUGAAAUUCGUAGAUAUUCGCAAGAACACCAGUGGCGAAGGCGGCUCACUGGCCCGAUACUGACGCUGAGGCACGAAAGCGUGGGGAGCAAACAGG
Molecule: ribosomal RNA, 253 nt
Filed under: uncultured bacterium
Lineage: Bacteria
Description: partial 16S ribosomal RNA
Rfam family: Bacterial small subunit ribosomal RNA
Source: RNAcentral